RNAcentral lists this transfer RNA (72 nucleotides) under Marmota monax (woodchuck). RNAcentral's name for it is "tRNA.Gly". The record is from RNAcentral. Lineage: Eukaryota; Metazoa; Chordata; Mammalia; Rodentia; Sciuridae.
GGAGGUGUGACUCAGUGGUAAAGCACUUGCCAGCCAGGCACGAGGCCCUGGGUUUCAUCCCCAGUACCCCCG